CUCGAAAUCACAGACCGUGAGAUCAUGACCUGAGCCGAAGUCGGACAUUCAACCGACGGAGCCACCCAGGCGCCCCUCUUUUAACUUUUUUAAUACACGUAAGAGAGAAAUGCGGAAAGAGAGGUACAUAGGAUAGACGCUUACAGAACAGAAAGCUUGACUUGUAUCCCUUCCAUGCAAUUAUUUAUUCCUUUAAGAAUUAGGAUGAGAGAGAAAACUUGGCUGAAUGAGAUGAGAUUUUCCUUAUUCAGUUUGAAUUUUCCCUGGCUAAGUAGGACAAUCAUAAAAUAAAACGUAAAAAGGGAGCUCAGAAUUGCCAGAGAGGGACGUCAGUGCCCCACUCAGAGGUAAUAAUAUGGAACCCACCCUAGCAAGGCUUUAGGGAUUAGCGCAAAAUUUAGCAUCAGGAAAGCCCUCUCCAUGCCCGGGAGCCAUGAUUACUAGCUACGUAGACAUUACUGGUGAGUUAAAAACAUUUAUGGGAUAACUCAAACGCUCCCUUCUUGCUCAUGUUCUUUCCUAAAUGAGUGCCCUGGGACUCAGGAUUGCCAUGUGGCGCCAUUCAGAGAAUAUGCUCACAGAUAUGAAAUCCCAUAGAAAGCAAAUGGAGAAAUGAGGAAGGCUUUGGUAUAUCUCUUAAAUCCUAGCCAUCCGAUUCCUUUUAGGCUUAGUCUGGGGUUCAUCGUUCCAUUAUUGACAGAGUCCCGAAGGCCUGGGCUCUCUAUCCCCCCAUCUGGGGGAUGGCGUCUGGCUGGGAACAUAGUCCAGAGCCGUAAAGUAAAUCACUCCAGGGAAGAAACCAAAUCUUGCCUUAGCUUGUCGCUGGCCGAGCCUCAGAGCCUGGGAGAGGACACUCGGAGAGUAGCCUCCCCCAGGACAUGUUCUGUUAUCAUUUUUCACGUACAGUUGGCAUCUCUGUCGGAGACACCAUGUAAAAAGGACACAAGAACCCACAGAGGUCAGCUACGAACUAGAAAAUUCCACAGAGAAGGUCAGAGUGGAUCUUUAGCAAGUGUUCCAAAGUGUUCCCUCAGCUCAGGUUUCAAUGUCAAGGGUUAAGUGUGGAUAUGAAGACAUUAAUCCAAGCAGAGAUUUGCAAGUUACCAUUCUUCAAAGUUAAAGAGAAACAAAAGAACGGAACUUUUUUUGUUAAAUACGCUCUACCGUUAACAUGGGGCUUGAACUCACGCCCCCCCCCCCAGAGGUCGUGAGUUGCAUGCUUUACUGACAGAACCAGCCAGGCUCCCCCAAACUUUUUUUUUUUUAAUGAAUGGAUUCAUUUCCAUAAGGAGACAAUUUAAAAAAUAUAAGAAAUAAGUUGUCUAAGAAACUUGUCACCCACGCUACGCUGAAUGCCUAGGUUGCAAGGUGCCAUCGGCUUUAACAUUUUGUUAUUCCAGUUUUGUUGUUUGCUGAUGACAGGGUUCACAGCAACUUGGCACACUGGAAAUUUUUAGCAGACGGAAUUUGAGUAACGGCAGGUGCGGGAAGGUCUCCCCGACCUCCCCGGUGGCCCCCAAAACAGGUCAUGAGACCCUCACAUGAGAGGUGCCCUCCCUAUACCCAGAGGAAAGGAACAUCCUCAUCUCCAAAGACGGAACAGGGCGCUGAGAGGAAUUCAAACAUAGAGGACUCGCUAGGUUUCCUCCAAGUUUAGGGCAAUUAACUCGUAUCCUUUUGUCCUAUCGUGUUCUCCCACAACUUUCCACUGUCCUCCAAGCCUAGUGUAAAAACAUGCAGGGUUCACCUUUCUCGGGUCUUCUUUUUCUUAUGAAAGCUCCCAUGUCAUGUAAAGCUUAUGUUAAAUACACUUGUGUCCUUUUGUCUGGUGAACCAGAAUUUUGUGAGUCCCAUCUACGGAGCUCCAGCCAGAGAACGUACGAGGGUAGGUGGACAAAGACCUUUCCCUCCCCUGCACUGAACCGGGGCAGGCUUGAGUUGGUUGACUCAUCUCCUCGUCUUUUUGUUUAUUUGUUUUUAAAUGGUUAUUUAUUUUGAGACAGAGAGAGAGAGAGAGAGAGAAUCCCAAGCAGGCUCUGCGCUGUUGACCCAACACGGAGCUCGAUCUCAUGAACGAUUCAUGCCAUUGAGACACGUAAUCACUGAAAUCCUUGGACCCUGAGAAUAUUUAGAUGAUGGGCUCCCGGUGCCCGUUGAUCACAGUUAUUUAGGAAGGACACUGGGGGAGAAGGGCUGGAACAAGAGGGAUCCUUCUGGCGUCCAGAAGUCGUGCUACAGUCAGCAGCUCCGUGCCCUGGACACCUGCCAUCGUCCCUCCCCUUGUUCAAGGGAAAGCCCAGCAAUAAGCAAAGUGGGGAGAAAAGAACUUGGCCAUGGCUUACAAAAAAUGGUAUACCCAUAAUCCUGGAUGCUACAAAGCUGUGCAUUUUCAUCCUCUGGCCCCAUCACCACCCAUUCAAGGACAAAGCUUCCCUCCCCUCCCCACCAACCGGGGGGCCAAUUCAUCUUUCCCUCCUUCAAACGGCGGGGAGUGCAAAUGUCCGGCAACCACUCACUGUCUUGCCCCAAGAUGGCUCCAGAAGCUUCGAGCUGCCCUGAUGCCUGACAUGCUGAGUCCUCCCCGCUCAGUCUUAUUCCAGACACUACCGGAUGUGCCAGACCACCCCCAAAAUGUCCACCCAGGCAGAAAAGAACAUUCCACUACAAAAAGAAGAAGGAGAAGAAGAAGAGAGAGAGAGAAAGAAAGAAAGAAAGAAAGAAAGAAAGAAAGAAAAAGAAAGAAAAGAAAGAAAACAAAAAACUUGGAAAUCUGAUCUUAAAGAUACACAUUUUAGGCGCUCCAGGCGGAGACGUUUGCCAGAGAGAAUGACAGGCCGCUCUCCUGACUGUCCCCGGGGAAAACCUUUACACCUUCUCUCCAGUGGGGCUCCUUCCUGGGAGGAAAAGAAGAUCGAACAAAGGCUUUGCUCCCUCACUCCUACGGGAGUCAUUCUUAGAAAUAAUAAAUGAAGGCAGAUUGAGAGACUUAAUAAAGUCCUCUAAUACAGUUA
Felis catus (domestic cat) is the source of this 3011-nucleotide long non-coding RNA. RefSeq lists it as uncharacterized. The record is from RefSeq and is a predicted model, not a curated record. NCBI's taxonomy places the organism in Eukaryota, Metazoa, Chordata, Mammalia, Carnivora, Felidae. The transcript is spliced from 4 exons.